AUGCAUGUAUUAUUCUACGUAUAGAUUCGGCAAAAUUUGUGCAGUAUAGUAUAAUGUAUAAUCAAUGGCGCGGUGCAAAUUAGGACAAAUGUAAUUCAUUAUAACGGUGUGAUAAAUACAAUGCCGUUGCAAACACGUAAUGUAGGAAU
Long non-coding RNA from Neodiprion fabricii, 149 nucleotides. RefSeq lists it as uncharacterized. NCBI's taxonomy places the organism in Eukaryota, Metazoa, Arthropoda, Insecta, Hymenoptera, Diprionidae. The record is from RefSeq and is a predicted model, not a curated record. The transcript has 4 exons.